RNAcentral lists this ribosomal RNA (249 nucleotides) under Cribricellina cribraria. RNAcentral's name for it is "partial 16S ribosomal RNA". Lineage: Eukaryota; Metazoa; Bryozoa; Gymnolaemata; Cheilostomatida; Catenicellidae. The record is from RNAcentral.
UAUAUUAAACGGCCGCGAAAGUGCUAAGGUAGCGAAAUCAUUUGUCUUUUUAUUGAAGACCAGUAUGAAGGAUUAACGAAGCUUAACUGUCUCAUUUUUAAUAUAAAAAUUGAUUUUGAAAUGAAAAAUUUUCAAUUUCUAAGAAGGACGAGAAGACCCUAUAGAGUUUUAUGAAUUCAUUUUAUUGGGGCAAUAUUGGAAAAAAAAAACCCUUAAUUUAAAAAUCCCCCCAAAGAAAAAAAAAAAACC